CCAGCCCACGUCACUGUAUUUUGUCGCGAAUUUCAAGCUCCUGGACUGGAAUGCUCCUGAUGCAGGACGAAUACAAGGUCAUUAUAGAUCUCCCAGGCAUAUGCAGUCCUCCUGCAGUAUGCCACAUAAUGCCCGAGAGAAUCCUGGGUCAGUCCUGGUUCAAAGCCAAUGACUGCUCUCAAAGUAAAGGUCUUCUCUUUUAGCUCCAGACUGGAGGGAAAUUCAAGCAAGGCAACUUCCUUGCAACUGCUGCCAAGGUCAGUGUCAAUCCACACAAACUCUCCCAGAUUGUAGCUGUGAGUAACAUUACCUGAACACAGAGCCUUGCCUGUAUUGUUGUCCUGUGUUUUGAAUGAAGACGGACAAUGGGAAGGAUUUUCAAUUGGCCUGAGGCAGAGAGAGUCAGGAAGGCUGAGUCCCUCUUCAGCAGCAGUCUGAAGAGAAGCCAUGCCACAGUGGAGAUGUGGCAUUGUGCAUCAAUUUGGAGAGCACCAGAGGUCAGGAGGACAGGUUUGAAUAUUUCCCCCAGCAGUUCUGCCCUCUGUGAGUAUACCUGUGGGUUCACACUCUGUGUUGUGAUGGUUUUCACCAGGUGGAGGAAUUGGUUCCCAUGUUCAUAGUUCAGAACAGUCUUUUCAAAUGAAAAACUUUCACAGAAAGAACAGCAUAAGCAUUGCAAGACAGAAUCAAAUGCACAAGUAUUGAGCACAAACACUUUUGAUGUGCGAAGUUUAACAGGCUGUUGAUGGUUCCCGUUUUUCAACAAUGGUACCUUGACUUUUUUCCAGCCCACUUGUGUGUCAAUAUGCAGCCAUUCAGGACAAGGAGAGAGAUAUGAAGUUAUCUUUCUUUUUUUCGGUGGGACCGCUAAACCUCUCCAGUUUUCAACUGCACUGUCAGUAGAUGCAUCUGGCUCCGCUCCAGGAUGAGAUUUUUCUCCCCUUUUGUUUACUACUUCAGUUUGAGAAGUACUGCAGACAUUGUCAGGCUCUCUGACGGUCGUGGCAUCACACACAUCACUUUUUUGUUUUGCAGAGCAAAUCCGCAUGUUUCCCUCAAUGAAGGAAAGAUGACGAGCAACAAACCGGUCCACACGAAUGGCUGCGGAACUUGCAGUGAUGCUGGCGCUUUUGAAGAGAGGGACCAUUAUUGCUGUCCAGAGUGGCAAGUAACUUCCAAGUCUUGUUAUUUGGGGAAUAAUCUCAGGGAGGAAGUGGAUGUUGUCUCUAUCCCCAUCAGCCAUGGCAAGUGACCUGCUCUCCUCACAUAUUUCUGUCACCCACUCUCGGACAUUAGUCUGGAUGUGCUGAUUUAAUGAAUCACCUGGUUCUUGUCCCUCAACUUCCUCAUCUGAAAUGGGGACAAAUUCCUCUGCGAUUUGCGCUCUCAAGUAUUUCUUGCACUUUUCUGAUGGGAUAGGGGCUCCAGAAUUGUCAUUACCCUCUGUCUCACUCAGUGCCACAAUGGUGAUAGCACGAAGAAGUUCUUUUGCAUGUUGCAAACAUUGUGACUUAAGAAGCUGUGCUAUUGACCUAACAAAGAAAUCCUUAACACGAGGUCUUUUGUU
Molecule: long non-coding RNA, 1567 nt
Organism: Syngnathus acus (greater pipefish)
Lineage: Eukaryota; Metazoa; Chordata; Actinopteri; Syngnathiformes; Syngnathidae
Exons: 4
Source: RefSeq, a predicted model, not a curated record